GUUGGAGCUCAGUGGUAGAGCAUUUGCCUAGCAUGUGUGAGGUCUUGGGUUCGAGCCUCAGUACCACA
RNAcentral lists this transfer RNA (68 nucleotides) under Marmota monax (woodchuck). Its description in RNAcentral is "tRNA.Ala". Lineage: Eukaryota; Metazoa; Chordata; Mammalia; Rodentia; Sciuridae. The record is from RNAcentral.